This 240-nucleotide long non-coding RNA is filed under the name Brassica napus (rape). RNAcentral describes it as "long non-coding RNA (BNAP_LNC012350)". The record is from RNAcentral. Lineage: Eukaryota; Viridiplantae; Streptophyta; Magnoliopsida; Brassicales; Brassicaceae.
GUGUGUUAUGUAGUAGUAGACGAUAAGUUAAUAUAUUAUGUAUUUGUUUUUUUCAUUAAUGUGGUGUUUUGUGUAUAAUAGUACUUAUUAGUGGUAAAGUGAGCCUACUAAGAUAAUAUAUUCUCUAUUUAUUUUUUCAAUAAUGUGGUGUUGUGUGUAUAAUAGUACUUGUUAGUGGUGAAGUGAACCUCUAAUGUAAAGCAUAUUAAAUUCAAUAAUGUUGCAUUUAGGCAUUUGUUG